RNAcentral lists this ribosomal RNA (879 nucleotides) under uncultured bacterium. RNAcentral describes it as "bacterial SSU rRNA". It matches the Rfam family "Bacterial small subunit ribosomal RNA", at positions 37 to 923 of the family's 1533-position model. The record is from RNAcentral.
UGGCGGUAUGCUUAACACAUGCAAGUCGAACGAGAAGAUCAGUUAAGAACCUUCGGGGGAAUAAGUGAUUGGAAAGUGGCGAACGGGUGAGUAACGCGUGGGUAACCUGCCCUAUGGAAAGGAAUAGCCUCGGGAAACUGGGAGUAAAGCCUUAUAUUAUGGAGAGAUCGCAUGGUCAUUUCAUGAAAACUCCGGUGCCAUAGGAUGGACCCGCGUCCCAUUAGCUAGUUGGUGAGAUAACAGCCCACCAAGGCGACGAUGGGUAACCGGUCUGAGAGGGCGAACGGUCACACUGGAACUGAGACACGGUCCAGACUCCUACGGGAGGCAGCANUGGGGAAUAUUGCGCAAUGGGGGCAACCCUGACGCAGCAAUACCGCGUGAGUGAAGAAGGUUUUCGGAUCGUAAAGCUCUGUUAUUGGGGAAGAAGAAUGACGGUACCCAAUGAGGAAGUCCCGGCUAACUACGUGCCANCAGCCGCGGUAAUACGUAGGGGACNAGCGUUGUCCGGAAUGACUGGGCGUAAAGGGCGCGUAGGCGGUCUGAUAAGUCAGAUGUGAAAGGUACCGGCUCAACCGGUGACGUGCAUUUGAAACUGUCAGACUUGAGUAUUGGAGAGGCAAGUGGAAUUCCUAGUGUAGCGGUGAAAUGCGUAGAUAUUAGGAGGAACACCAGUGGCGAAGGCGGCUUGCUGGACAAAUACUGACGCUGAGGUGCGAAAGCGUGGGGAGCGAACAGGAUUAGAUACCCUGGUAGUCCACGCCGUAAACGAUGAAUGCUAGGUGUUGGGGAAACUCAGUGCCGCAGUUAACACAAUAAGCAUUCCGCCUGGGGAGUACGACCGCAAGGUUGAAACUCAAAGGAAUUGACGGGGACCCG